This 257-nucleotide ribosomal RNA is filed under the name uncultured bacterium. RNAcentral describes it as "partial 16S ribosomal RNA". It matches the Rfam family "Bacterial small subunit ribosomal RNA", at positions 524 to 776 of the family's 1533-position model. The record is from RNAcentral.
UACGUAGGGUCCGAGCGUUGUCCGGAAUUACUGGGCGUAAAGAGCUCGUUAGGUGGUUUGUCGCGUUGUUCGUGAAAACUCACAGCUCAACUGUGGGCGUGCGGGCGGAUACGGGCAGACUAGAGUACUGCAGGGGAGACUGGAAUUCCUGGUGUAGCGGUGGAAUGCGCAGAUAGUCAGGAGGAACACCGGUGGCGAAGGCGGGUCUCUGGGGCAGUAACUGACGCUGAGGAGCGAAAGCGUGGGGAGCGAACAGG